GCCGUGACAUCAAAGGCUAGCUAGCAUCACUCGACUGGCUAGCUCCACGUUUUGUUUGCGUCUUUCUACAGAGAGAGAAAAAAAUAUAACGAAUUUAACUCAGACUUUCUGCCGAAGAUGAUGAGCACAAACGUGAGAACGUUUCUUCCUCGUCGCCAGUUUUGUUGUAUAGCACACUGUAUUACUUAUACAACUAAUAUAAGGACAGGACAUGAGACCAGAGUAGAAAUUAAAGUGGACAUUGUUUAAUGCGUUUUACAGGAAGAACAUUCCAAGCAUUUCAACGUAGGUCCCUCCCUGCUCUCCCUCGACUCCCAUAAACACCUGUGUCCCCCCAUCCCACUCACGUGCUCCUUCACCUACUCCUCACCCAAUCUUGGCAGCAAGGUGGGGUCCUGACUGGGUCCUUCAUUCCCUUACUAUGAUGAAUUCAAGCAGUUUGGGAUCCAAUUCGGGAAAGUCGCAUUCCUAGUCGUAAUGCUAGUGAGUUACCGCCACUGGUAUCCAAAAGUUAUUUCCGGCUGCAAAGUUGCGUCGGAGCUAGAAGCAGAUCUGCCAUAUCUGUCGGCGCCAUCUUCAUAAAUAUAGGAGCUGGGUCGAAUCAAGGUGCCGAAGACAGGCUCCUUCAUGACCAGUAUCUGUGACGAGACGAGCCUGGAGCUGAUCUACACUGCAAUGCCCAACAGGCGUUGGCAAACACCUCCGAAGUGACAAAAGAUGGAGGAAAGAAGAGCUGCAAUUGUCAUGGAGUCCUCUUACUGAAAGACUGGUUGAUACUGAUGUAUGAAUUGGGAGAGAGCUUUCACUCAGCAUUAAAAUUAAAGAAGAC
Molecule: long non-coding RNA, 829 nt
Organism: Oncorhynchus tshawytscha (Chinook salmon)
Lineage: Eukaryota; Metazoa; Chordata; Actinopteri; Salmoniformes; Salmonidae
Source: Ensembl